Lolium perenne is the source of this 1805-nucleotide long non-coding RNA. RefSeq lists it as uncharacterized. The record is from RefSeq and is a predicted model, not a curated record. Lineage: Eukaryota; Viridiplantae; Streptophyta; Magnoliopsida; Poales; Poaceae.
CUAAAAUUCAUGCAGUAGAAACUGCUAGAUGAACUGAUCCGCCACCGCCUCCAGGUUAAAAACCUACCCGUGCUGCAAUCGGCAUCAAGCACACCAGCAUGCUCACUUCGCCUCCAGUGGCACCGGUCUCCACAUAGUUGCGCUCCAGCUCGAAAGCUGCUCCACGUUUUGCCCCUCCACACGAUUUGAUUGCAUCUCACUCAAGCACACUAAUUUGUUGGAUUCCGCAUGCAAGCGAGUUUAUUGGAUUCUGCGUCUUGAUCGUUGAAGCUACGAGAAAGCAGCGAUCAUCACGAGUUUGCUGCCUACGGACGCUGUAACAUGUAUUUGCUACCCUGGAGUCUCCGCUGAUUUAGUCAGAUACACAGGAAUAUUCUCUUCAGAAAAUUUCAGGAGUUGGGUUAAGGCUAUCUCAGGACCCAAGUUAAGCUACCCUACAUGCAACUAGGGUUGACGGCACUGUAUGUUCAUCCUUUGAUCUGAAUUUUAUAUGGUGCUUUUAUCCAACAUGCAAUUUAGGUAACUGGUGUUUUUAUGAAGCUGGAGAAACAAAUAUAGAUCCACUACUGCAAAGAAUAUUUGAAUGACCGGUGAUUUCUAUGUAUUUUAUUGGAUUUCUAAUGAAGUUCAGUUAGAUCAGUUUCUAUCGUUAUGGGAAGAGAUCCAGUCUGUCUUUUUGCUUGACACUAUAAAAUCCUCCUUGAACCUCUCCGCGCAUGGUGUUUAUUCAGCAAAGAGUGCUUAUGAAGCUCGGUUUUUUCGCAAAAUUCAUUCCAUGAACUUGCCAGAGCUGAACCUAAAGUGCAAUUAUUCCUCCGGUUGCUGUCUUUGAACCAUCUUAUGGACUUCUGACAAGGUGCUACAUUGCUGCUUCUGUGAUGACGCGUUAGAAUCUGAUGUGCACCUAUUUCUUGGGUGCCCCUUUAGGAAAUUGAUAUGGUAGCCCCAACCCAGAUUGUUCCCAUUGCCUUCAACUCAAACUAUAUUGCCAGUUGGUCGACGCAAUGUCUAAAAAAACGCAAGAAGCAUCAUAAAAUCAUUAGCUUUCAGCCGUUGUGUAUAUUAUUUGGCAUAUAUUGAAGACUAGAAGCCGACGUGUCCUCGACGACAAGAAAUUUUGCUGGAUAGAUUGCCCAUCUGGCCUAAGAUAAUCUGCUGGCUGGGUUAGAUUUUAGAGGACUAAUAACUGCCUGUUAUUUUUGUUUCGUUUUUCUCUUUGUUUCUCCCAAGCUGCUUAAGCCUCUGUACAGUUAUACCCCAUCUAUAGUACAGUACAUCACUGUAUUUCGAUGGUAACAAAUAAUAGUUGACAGUCUCUUUCACAUAUUUCUUUUUUCUCUUACUACUAUGAGAUUACGCCAGGUUUGUGGUGAUGAGAGAUGAACAUAUUUUUUAAAGUAUUACCUUUGUGAGUUACUCAACGAAAAAUAAUAAAAAAUUGCAGGGAAAAAAAAUCUGCUAAUUGUUUGUGUGAAUUGUUUUAGUUAUAUAAUAACCCUACUGUAGUUGAUUGAUAUAUUUGAGUAGUACAAAUGGUGCAUGAGAUAAAUGAGACGUUGAAAGAGCAACUUACAAAGAGAGUACAAGUCAUGUUAUAAUAAUCAUUAUGGGUGUUAUCGUUAGUUGAUUUUACACAAUCAUAAUACGUAUAGUUGAACUAUUUUAUAAAUCAAUCCCGCCGCAACGCGCGGGGUAUCAUCUAGUAACCUAAAUAAGGGGGGUCAUUGGAAAAAAUCCCAAAAUAAAUAAAAACAUUGAUAUAACAUUAUAUAAAAUGGAAAUGUGCGAGAAUAUGUGGCAAUAAA